AUUGAACGCUGGCGGCAUGCUUUACACAUGCAAGUCGAACGGUAACAGGCCUUCGGGUGCUGACGAGUGGCGAACGGGUGAGUAAUGCAUCGGAAAGUGCCCCGAGGUGGGGGAUAACGCAGCGAAAGCUGUGCUCAUACCGCAUGUGAUCUGAGGAUGAAAGCGGGGGACCAGGCAGCAAUGUUUGGCCUCGCGCCUUUGGAGCGGCCGAUGUCCGAUUAGGUAGUUGGUGGGGUAAAGGCCUACCAAGCCGACGAUCUGUAGCUGGUCUGAGAGGACGACCAGCCACACUGGAACUGAGACACGGCCCAGACUCCUACGGGAGGCAGCAGUGGGGAAUUUUGGACAAUGGGCGCAAGCCUGAUCCAGCAAUGCCGCGUGCGGGAAGAAGGCCUUCGGGUUGUAAACCGCUUUUGUACGGAACGAAAAGGCUCUGGCUAAUACCUGGGGCUGAUGACGGUACCGUAAGAAUAAGCACCGGCUAACUACGUG
Molecule: ribosomal RNA, 492 nt
Filed under: uncultured bacterium
Lineage: Bacteria
Description: partial 16S ribosomal RNA
Rfam family: Bacterial small subunit ribosomal RNA
Source: RNAcentral